AGUGGGCCUGACGGUCGCGCGCCGCAAGGCGUGAGGAAAGUCCGGGCUCCAAAGGGCAAGAUGCCAGCUAACGGCUGGGCGGGGCGACCCGACGGAUUAGUGCCACAGAAAAGAAGACUCCCUCUUCUUGAGGGAAAAGCUGAAACGGUGCGGUAAAAGCGCACCAGCGCGUCGGCAACGGCGUGGCUUGGUAAACCCCAUCUGGAGCAAGCGCAAAUAGGAACGCGAUACGGUGCCCUUCCGUGCGCUCGGGUUGCGUGCUUGAGACGCGUGGUGACACGCGUUCGAGAUAAAUGGCCGUCCCAACGACAGAACCCGGCUUAUCGACCCACUCG
Molecule: RNase P RNA, 335 nt
Filed under: Ellagibacter isourolithinifaciens
Lineage: Bacteria; Bacillati; Actinomycetota; Coriobacteriia; Eggerthellales; Eggerthellaceae
Description: Bacterial RNase P class A
Rfam family: Bacterial RNase P class A
About the family: Ribonuclease P (RNase P) is a ubiquitous endoribonuclease, found in archaea, bacteria and eukarya as well as chloroplasts and mitochondria. Its best characterised activity is the generation of mature 5'-ends of tRNAs by cleaving the 5'-leader elements of precursor-tRNAs.
Source: RNAcentral